GAUGAAGAACGUAGCGAAAUGCGAUAAGUAGUGUGAAUUGCAGAAUUCAGUGAAUCAUCGAAUCUUUGAACGCACAUUGCGCCCCUUGGUAUUCCAUGGGGCAUGCCUGUUCGAGCGUCAUUUGUACCUUCAAGCUCUGCUUGGUGUUGGGUGUUUGUCUCGCCUCUGCGUGUAGACUCGCCUCAAAACAAUUGGCAGCCGGCGUAUUGAUUUCGGAGCGCAGUACAUCUCGCGCUCUGCACUCAUAACGACGACGUCCAAAAGUACAUUUUUACACUCUUGACCUCGGAUCAGGUAGGGAUACCCGCUGAACUUAAGCAUAUCAAUAAGCGGAGGA
Molecule: unclassified non-coding RNA, 337 nt
Filed under: soil metagenome
Description: partial contains 5.8S ribosomal RNA, internal transcribed spacer 2, and large subunit ribosomal RNA
Rfam family: 5.8S ribosomal RNA (bases 1-120)
Source: RNAcentral